GGGCACGCGCCGCGCGCCGCCGCCGCGGCCGGGGGACAACGAGGAAGCGGCUCCGCGCAGGCGCGGCCGCCCCUCCUCCCCCGGCCCCGCCGUGAGGGAAGGGGGGCCGUGGUAAGGCUAGGGUUUUGGGACCCAUAUGUUCCUUUCUAAAGAAGGCUAAGUCUCAGGAGGCUCAGAAGCCCUCCAUAUGGCCAUGUGAUUGCUGUUGCUGCUGCUGCUGCUUCUUCACGUGAUCCAGCUUUCUGGCACAAAGGCUCGGAGCUCGUACAGAUGAUUGUUAAACAUCAUGAGACUCUGCAAGUGAAUCUCUUGAAGAAAAGCUUGAAAGCCUGGAUGCUGAAGAUCUCAUGUCUCAUCUGUCACGACCAGAAACCUACCUAGAUGAGGAGAAAAGAUCAAGGAAGUAAAACUGACCAAACUAUGGGACUGACAAGGUCACUUAUGCAAACAGGUCAUUUGCCUUGUUCUUGCAGAAAAAACAGGAUGGCACUGGGACCUGAACUCUGACUCUCUGCUGUUUCUGCUGUUCUGGAUGCUGAUGCUGCUAUUUCACAACAGCUGAGCUGGAUCCAGAUGGAAACGAGUGGCCAAACCAGCUAUCCUCACUCAGCUCCUGUGUCAUUUGUGGGUGGAAAUUAACAGCUUCUGCAGCUGAGCAGGGCUGAGACAAUGAGAGGAGUCGGGAUGUCACUAAGAGAUCAUGUCCUCGUAGGAACUGUUCUAUCCCUAGUGCAAAACCAGAGCUGUCCCCACAUGCUAUCUGCUCACCUUUAUUCCUGACCUGCUGCAGGCUAAAUUCCUGGUGGAAGGAGAACAAAGAGAAUAAAAUGUAGUAGUUUAGUGGUCAGUGCAGUGCUCAGUCAGACAGGAGAGGCAGCGAUGCUGCACAACCCCCAUGAAGUUUGUGCCUGCAUCCACCCCUACAGUGCUGUACUUCUCUUUAAACAUCUCUUCCCUGGCCUCUCUCAAGCUGUAAUUGGUAAAGAGCACUUUAAACAUGCUCCAACUGGCAGUAAAAUUCUACUUUUAAAAUAUUGGAUGGUGCAGCUUAUUUGUAUGUUUUGAACAAUAGCACACGAGAAAUUGUAGAUGCUUUUGAGAAAAAUUGCAUUGUGAAAAGCCUCAGAGAAUCUCUUCAUGACCAUUAGGAUUUAAUUAUGGAAGGCAGAAGAGGAAAAAAAACAAAGGACAGUAAGUAAUGGAUUGUUAUAUCGUUAUGAGUCAUAUUGCCUCAGAGGUUUUGUUUUCAGCUGAUGCUGUGUGUAUCAUUAUUAAGUUAUUUUAUUAUUG
This is a long non-coding RNA of Myiozetetes cayanensis, 1290 nucleotides long. RefSeq lists it as uncharacterized. The transcript is spliced from 6 exons. Lineage: Eukaryota; Metazoa; Chordata; Aves; Passeriformes; Tyrannidae. The record is from RefSeq and is a predicted model, not a curated record.